AGUGAACGCUGGCGGUAGGCCUAACACAUGCAAGUCGAACGGCAGCACAGGAGAGCUUGCUCUCUGGGUGGCGAGUGGCGGACGGGUGAGGAAUACAUCGGAAUCUGCCCAGUCGUGGGGGAUAACGUAGGGAAACUUACGCUAAUACCGCAUACGACCUUCGGGUGAAAGAGGGGGAUCGCAAGACCUCUCGCGGUUGGAUGAGCCGAUGUCGGAUUAGCUAGUUGGCGGGGUAAUGGCCCACCAAGGCGACGAUCCGUAGCUGGUCUGAGAGGAUGAUCAGCCACACUGGAACUGAGACACGGUCCAGACUCCUACGGGAGGCAGCAGUGGGGAAUAUUGGACAAUGGGCGCAAGCCUGAUCCAGCCAUACCGCGUGGGUGAAGAAGGCCUUCGGGUUGUAAAGCCCUUUUGUUGGGAAAGAAAUCUUUCAGGCUAAUACCCUGGGAGGAUGACGGUACCCAAAGAAUAAGCACCGGCUAACUUCGUG
Molecule: ribosomal RNA, 490 nt
Filed under: uncultured bacterium
Lineage: Bacteria
Description: partial 16S ribosomal RNA
Rfam family: Bacterial small subunit ribosomal RNA
Source: RNAcentral